RNAcentral lists this small RNA (6221 nucleotides) under Pongo abelii (Sumatran orangutan). RNAcentral's name for it is "processed transcript". Lineage: Eukaryota; Metazoa; Chordata; Mammalia; Primates; Hominidae. The record is from RNAcentral.
GUCCCUACAACAUCCAUUUUAUCCACAGCUGGUACACAACUAAUGAUUCAACUAGGUCAUUUAUUUAUAUUUUAAAUUGCCUUCUAUGCUCGGUCAUAAGCCUACUUAACACUGUAUAAUCUAAAGCCCUGGUUCUGCUAUAGAUCUGGUAAGUAAAAGUGUUUUACAAAUGAGUUCUACCGAAAUAUUUUAAAUGUUUGCCCUUCCCACUCCCAUUUCCUAAUCCCUAUUCCAUGAAGUUUAGGUCAAUACAACAGUUUAUGUAUGUUGACAUUUACAGAAGAAGAAUUCAAACAGAGGUGAAAUGAAAGAGAUUGAUCUUUGAGCACUUUCCCAUGAAAAUGUUGUUAUAUAUCCUUUAUGAUAUAAAAUUUUAAAUCAUAGAAUUAUAAAUAUUUGUAAGAAGCAUAUUCAUAUUUUAAUUAAAAAGAAAGGACCAAAAGAAGUUAAAUGCCUUUCCUUUGUCUAUAUGACUGUAUUGUAAAAAAUUAGUCUUCUCUCUCUGGAUGAAUAUCAGCAAAACUAACUUUCUAUGUAUUUCUUUUGAGUUUCAAACAGCAAACUUUAUCUGGGAAUACUUUAACAGUUCAUCUCUGGAAAUUUACAAGAGCUCUACAACUGUCCAUUGAAACUUCACUAUAGUGUGCUUAAGAGCCCUUAUAUGUGAUAUAAUUUUUAUAUGUUUUUGUAAGGAUAUCUUUAUGGACAAAUUCCAAAUGACUAAACGUGUAUGUGUAUGUGUGUUUCACACAUUGUUAGCAUAAAGUAAGUUCUUACUGUUAUCGUUAGACUUACACAGAUGAAUAGAUGGACAAAUAGGUAGGUAGGUCUGUUCAGAAUGAUAUCAUCUUGGUUGGAUUGCCAUUUAGUAUCAGAAAAGAAAGUGUUCUUUUCAAUACCUAUGAUUUAAGGAACAUUUUGCUAUAAGCUCUAAUAUUUCCUAAUUUCCAUUCAAAACAAUACACCAAAUGAGAAGGACGGAAAGAAUAGUCAAGGCUUCUACCUAUGAAUCAAGACAAUGGAUGUGGCCAAUAAGUCUACCAUGUCUGAAUUUAUUUUGCUGGGGCUCUCUAAUUCCUGAGAAUUACAGAUGUUUUUCUUUAUGGUGUUUUCAUUGUUUUAUGUGGCAACAAUGGGAAUAUUUUCAAAACUGUGCUGCUUUUUGCAAUAUAAAACUGUGGAAUCUUUUGGAAGAGACGCUAUUGAUUUUCUGUGCUUUUGUGGAGAAUUCUAAAACUCAAGAACAUUUGCCAAAAUACCCUCAAAGGUGUAGCUGAUCAGCAGACAACUCUAUAAGGCAAGUCAAUAAUAAGAUUAAGUAGUUGGAUUGAUAGUAAAGUUCUCUAGUUGAUAAUAAAAAGGAUUACAGAAAGCCUUUGGAAGACUUACAUAUAUAAAUGGAACAAUCUGUCAUAUUUCUUGGUGGCUUAGUGUGAGGAGUCAAUAUUCAUGGUACCUCUGCAUGUUAUAUAAACACUUAAAAAUCUUAGUUAGGACUUUAGGACUCACGGUGGAUGGUUUUUUUUUUUUUUUCUUUUUUCAUUUAUUUAUUUAUUUGUUUGUUUAUUUUUUUUCUCCCCCCUCCCGCGGUGGAUGGUUUUAUCGAUAUAUCUCUUAGACAAGAUGCUGACACUCUUUUACCGAGGAUAACUGCAGUGACAUGGCCAUGGACUCGUUAGGCAAUAGUAAGGAUGGGGCCAGCUGCCACCGGAGUUUCCAGAGACAGAGAUAAUGUUCUGCAGAGAAUACAAGAUAAGCACACAAGUAUAAUUUUAAGUGAUCUGCACUAUCUGCAAUAACACACUUGAGGGAGUUCUGGAGCAUUUAUAAGAAGACUGUUGACAAGCAACUUCAUCUUCCUCUACAUGUUUAGGAAGCUGUGAAGCUUGACAAUAAUUGAAUGCAGAUGGAAAAACUGUUAAAAAUCAGGUAUAGAUAAAAGCAGACAAAGUGUAAAUUUUAAUAUGUGAAGGAACUGGAUAUAUGUAAUAGCAAUAAAACUACAAAUUAUGUUUGUUUCUAAAAAUGCUUAAGAAAACUUUUAGAAUACUAUAUGGUAUAAUGAUGGUGGAUUUACCAUAAAGCUAGUAAAGCUUAGGGUUUAUAACUCCUCCUUUGCAUGGAUUUCCUCGAAGGCCCUAGAAUGGAAACUAACAACCUUUUAUUAGUUAUUUUGAUUUUUUUUCCUGAAACAGGUGUCCUCGAACUGUAUAAGCUUUAAGCCUAGCUUGUCCAACCCAUGACCUGCAGGUUGCAUGCGGCUCAGGAGAUGGCUUUCAAUUCAGCCCAACACAAAUUCGUAAGCUUUCUUAAAACAUUAUGGGAUUUUCUUGUGAUUUUUUUGUAAAGCUCAUCAGCUAUCUUUAGUAUCAGUGUAUUUUAUGUAUGGCCCAAGACAAUUCUUCUUCCAAUGUGGCCCAGAGAAGCCAAAAGUUUGGACACCCCUGCAUUAAAAGGCUCUGCAGAAUCUGAAGUCUAAUGUGCAGUUUUAAAAGUCUUAGACUCUGGUAUCUUUUUUUUUUAAACCAGUGUUUAAUACUACUUCUACUACUAGUGGUGUAAACUUAAGCUAAGUACUUAAUGCCUCUUAGCCUCAGUUUCUACAUACGUUAAAGGAGAUAAUAGUGGUCUCUACACCACAGAGUUAUUUGAGGCAUAAAAGAAGUAAAUAAUAUAAAGCAUAUAGUUGUCAAUAAAUGUUAGUCAUUGUAUCAUUCUGGGUGAUAAUCUCUGGAUAUCUUUGUUUAUGGGACUUGAUAGUCUCUUGAGCUAACAAUUGACUCGUUUAAUUUAAAAGGUAAAUUUUCAUUUAUAUGUUUUAAACAUUCAUGUCUGUAUAUGUGUGUAUAAAUAUUCAUGUCUGUAUAUGUGUGUCAGUAUUAAUUUGAAAAAUUAAAAGUAACUUCCACUAGAAAAUUACACUGGUUCUUACAUUAAUUAAAGCUUCUGGAAACUUGUUUUUCUGUCUGUUCACAAUUGUCAUUAAUCAAGAGAAGUAUCAAGUUGUUGCUUAAUCAUUAUGCUAUUGCUUCUUUACAAUGAAUAAAUAUUAAAUUGGUUUAUUGAUUUUAGGAUGAAUUCACAUUACAAUUGUCAGAAUAAGAAUGAUGUUUGACUCAUAUUAUUAAGGUAAAGAGAUAAGCAGAUGGAUGGAUUAGUAGAUAGAUAAAGUUUUGUAUUACAUGAGCUGUCUUAUGUGAAGUAUUUUUCUGCAUUGAUAAGGGUUUAGGAUAAUGUGAUCACUGGAUUAUGCUACUAUAUAGAAGUUCUUGGUAAAAUGCUGUUAUUUGUGCAUAUCCAGAUUCUUUAUGAAAGUAUUUUCAAAUUUAAAAAACUACCUGUGAAUCUCUUCUCUACAUGUGAGUUUUUAAACAACUCAGUUAUAGCAAAAUUUGUUGAGAGAGUUGGAGUAAUCCUCCUAUUUCCCUAUUCUUUCCCUGAUAUUAUUUUGCCUGAUUUUCAGAGGUAUGUGUCAAUUGAAAGAUGGUGAGAAGAAAACAGCCAGAGAAAUCUAAUUCAUGUGAACUUCUUGCAUGUGCUCUGAGAUGCCAAUGAAAUCCACUAAGCAACUUGAUAGUUUUUGAGUUUAUAAGUUUCCGUUAUGCUUUGUUGUUUGGAAUUAUUUUUAAUGCUCUUGGUUACACCUAUGAGGUAAAUAUGCACAAAUUAUUCUGGAGUAUGUAGGACCAACACUCAAAUGAGAUUGAAAAUGUGACUGGGAUCAUUGAUUGAUGUAUUCUGUCUGUAUUGUUGCUAAUAUAACUCAAUUGACAUGUUGUUUAUUUUUUCUCUUUGAUUUUUGUAAAACAAACAAAUUCCAAUAUCUAGUAUGUACUAAAAUAUUAUACUUUCAUUUUUAUUUUUUACUCUGAUGAUUUACACUGCCAAUAUAAGGAGAUGUAUACCUAUUUUUUAAAUUAAAAAAUGUUCUCGGACUGGAGGCUCCAGGUUUUUUUCCCCCAUUAGCCUUUUUAUGACUACUAAAUGCAAGACCACUGUUAAUUCGCCUUUUUUCUUUACGUUUUAACUGUACUAGGAAUCUGAAGCCAUCAACAAAAGCUAGAUUUUUCUCCCUUUGCUCACUUGCCACCUGUUAAAAUUUAAAGGAGAGAUUUUUUUUUUUUAGUUUGAGACUAGAAAUAGCAAUUUAAUUAAUAAUUUGUUUUUAUAUAAUAAUAUAUUUAUAUCUAAAUUUUUUCUUCUUGUUUGAAUAUACUUAUAUUGGUUGUCCUACAGUUAAGAAAACAGAAACCAUUGGGUAAAUUAAGCAGAUUUAAUACAAUGUAUUAAAUGCUUAUGAAUAAUUCAAAGACUUACAGGAACAUUCAUUGGAGGCUGCUACUGGAGCUACUGUGUUCCAGAGCACGUUACACCAGUAAUGUGAUGUAAGGGCAAAAGGCAAAAAGCCUUGGUGUCAUUGCCACUCCUUCAUCACCCUCAACACUCUUGAAGGUGGUGAAUAGUCAGUGGACACAGGUAUGGCUGCCACAAUUGCUUUCCCUCACAUCUCAUCAUCAUCUUGCUCACCAGCAGCAAUUAUAUCAGUAGAUCCCUCUGCCUCACUUGUGCUUUCUAAAGCUCAUUUGGUGCAUCUAAUUGGUGGAAUCUACUUUGCACAGAGAAACUUGGCUUUAAAAAUCAAUUUGUAGAUUUCAAGAUUCUUAUGCAACAGAAAACAUGCUAAUAGAGGGUGGAUUGGAGGGAGACUCUGUCAAUCAAUCAAUAUCCAUUACUUUAAUUUUUUAAUAACCUUUUUAUUGUAGUGUAAAAGCAAGGUAAAGAAAAAUACACAAACAUAUUUAGCUUAAUGAAAUAUUAUAAGGCAAACACCAUUAUAAUCACAUCUCAAGUCACAAAAUAGAACUUUGCCAGCCACCCCUGAAGUCCUCAAAUUUGUUCAUCUCGAUGACAACCCUCUCCUUCCAAAAUUAACCAUUACCCUGACUUAAUAAAUUAUUUGCAUUUCUUUUCAGUUUCAUGAAUACAUAUAUACUCAAAUAUACAUCCAUACACACUCAAACUUGGCCUCACCAACUUUGUUUCCUUUUCCUGUAGCCUACAAGUCUCACUAUCACUAUCUCUUCAAUUUCUGUGUAAUUUAUCUUUCUUUUUCUUUUUUUUUUUUUUUCUUUUUUUGAGACGGAGUCCAGCUCUGUCGCCCAGGCUGGAGUGCAGUGGCGCGAUCUCUGCUCAUUGCAAGCUCUGCCUUCCGGAUUCACGCCAUUCUCCUGCCUCAGCCUCCUGAGCAGCUGGGACUAUAGGUGCCCACCACCACACCUGGCUAAUUUUUUGUAUUUUUAGUAGAGACGGGGUUAUAAUUUAUCUUUUGAAAAACCUGAGUUAUUUACCAUGUAGGAUCUCCCAGAGUCUGAAAUGUGCUGAUUGCAUGCUCAUGGUACAGUUCAACAUGUACUUCUGUCACUGUAUUUUCUGCAAAUUGCCUAUCCAAUGGCUUAAUCAUAUUUAGUUUGAUACUUUUUGCAAGACAAAUGACAGAUGAUGUUAUAUUUUUGCAUCCAAAAGAUCUUGAUGUCUUGCUUUAUCUCUUUUGGGAAUGAUAGUGCUGUCGUUGCUGUAGUAGUUGAUACCUCUAACCAUUUUUGUCGGCUAAAGCUUAUUCUCUACUAUAUUCCUCAGGAAUUCUUCUUGAAGACCCUAUUCUCUGAAUUCUGGCAUGUUGGCAAGUUUCUUUGAAACAUAAGUGUUUCAAAGUCAAUUUUGCUGUAAAUUCAUUGGCUAUUCAUUUUCUUGAUUAUCUUAAAUUGAAAUAAUGACUCUCUUUGUAAGCACUUUGUCUGGAGUCUGCAAAGCCUGUAUUUCUCUUCACUCACCCUAGCAUACCAUACAAUUAGAAGUUUGGAACUGAUCUUUUAAUUUUUGGAGGGAAGUAUUAACAACCCUUCUGAUAUUUAUAUUAGUAGUCUCUCUAAAGUAAUUAAAUAGGACUCCAUUGCACUCAAGAGAUUUUAAAACAUUUAAAUUUCUAAAUUUCCUUUAAGUAUAUUAAAAUGUAACUAAAUAAAAUUGUUCUUCAAGAGUAACAUGUAAUUGAAUCAUCAACAUAUUCAUAUAACUUUUCCAAUUUUUAAAAGAAAGAUACCUCUCUUGCAGCUCAAUUACUUUUUAAAUAAAAUAAAUUUGAAUCCCUGUUCGUACCUGGAGACCUUUUUGAUCUGCUCUCCUCACCUCACAUUUCACACAUGGAGAAAAAAAGUCUGCAC